This is a long non-coding RNA of Helianthus annuus (common sunflower), 210 nucleotides long. RefSeq lists it as uncharacterized. Lineage: Eukaryota; Viridiplantae; Streptophyta; Magnoliopsida; Asterales; Asteraceae. The record is from RefSeq and is a predicted model, not a curated record. The transcript is spliced from 2 exons.
UGUGUUCUGGAUCGUUCCAGAGCUCCCCAAGGGAGCCAAACCCUAACUCAACAAUAUUCAUCAAAUUGAAGGGUGAAUUGAAGCUCAAAUUAUCAACCGAACGUGAAUUAGUGAUCACCAACACAAGGGGAUCAUAAGGCAUAAGGAUCAUGUGGAAAUGGACUCAAGCAAGAAAGGCAAAAGGGUGAAAAGGAGGCAAGGGAACGGACG